This 297-nucleotide ribosomal RNA is filed under the name uncultured Janthinobacterium sp. RNAcentral's name for it is "partial 16S ribosomal RNA". It matches the Rfam family "Bacterial small subunit ribosomal RNA", at positions 264 to 553 of the family's 1533-position model. The record is from RNAcentral. Lineage: Bacteria; Pseudomonadati; Pseudomonadota; Betaproteobacteria; Burkholderiales; Oxalobacteraceae.
CCUACCACGGCAUCGAUCAGUAGCUGGUCUGAGAGGACGACCAGCCAAACUGGAACUGAGACACGGUCCAGACUCCUACGGGAGGCAGCAGGGGGGAAUUUUGGACAAUGGUCGAAAGCCUGAUCCAGCAAUGCCGCUGGAGUGAGGAAGGCCUUAAGGUUGUAUAGCUGUUUUGUCAGGUCAGAUACGGUGAAAGCUAAUAUCUCUUGGUAAUCAGUGUUCCUGAAGAAUAAGCACCGGCUAACUACGUGCCCCCGGCCGCGGUAAUACGUAUGGUGCAAGCGUUAAUCCGAAUUA